UGGGGAAUAUUGCACAAUGGGCGCAAGCCUGAUGCAGCCAUGCCGCGUGUGUGAAGAAGGCCUUCGGGUUGUAAAGCACUUUCAGCGAGGAGGAAGGUGGUGAGCUUAAUACGCUCAUCAAUUGACGUUACUCGCAGAAGAAGCACCGGCUAACUCCGUGCCAGCAGCCGCGGUAAUACGGAGGGUGCAAGCGUUAAUCGGAAUUACUGGGCGUAAAGCGCACGCAGGCGGUUUGUUAAGUCAGAUGUGAAAUCCCCGGGCUCAACCUGGGAACUGCAUUUGAAACUGGCAAGCUAGAGUCUCGUAGAGGGGGGUAGAAUUUCCAGGUGUAGCGGUGAAAUGCGUAGAGAUCUGGAGGAAUACCGGUGGCGAAGGCGGCCCCCCUGGACGAAGACUGACGCUCAGGUGCGAAAGCGUGGGGCAGCAAACAGGAUUAGAUACCCUGGUAGUCCACGCUGUAAACGAUGUCGAUUUGGAGGUUGUNCCCCUGAGGCGUGGNUUCCGGAGCUAACGCGUUAAAUCGACCGCCUGGGGAGUACGGCCCGCAAGG
This 550-nucleotide ribosomal RNA is filed under the name uncultured bacterium. RNAcentral's name for it is "partial 16S ribosomal RNA". It matches the Rfam family "Bacterial small subunit ribosomal RNA", at positions 355 to 893 of the family's 1533-position model. The record is from RNAcentral.